Molecule: ribosomal RNA, 301 nt
Filed under: uncultured bacterium
Lineage: Bacteria
Description: partial 16S ribosomal RNA
Rfam family: Bacterial small subunit ribosomal RNA
Source: RNAcentral
CAGCCGCCGCGGGGAAUACGAAGGGUGCGAGCGUUACUCGGAAUUACUGGGCGUAAAGCGUGCGUAGGUGGUGGUUUAAGUCCGUUGUGAAAGCCCUGGGCCCAACCUGGGAAUUGCAGUGGAUACUGGGUCACUAGAGUGUGGUAGAGGAUAGUGGAAUCUCCGGUGUAGCAGUGAAAUGCGUAGGGAUCGGAAGGAACAUCUGUGGCGAAGGCGACUAUCUGGGCCAACACUGACACUGAGACACGAAAGCGUGGGGAGCAAACAGGAUUAGAUACCCCCGUAGUCCCUGUCUCUUAUA